UUCUAGCUAUAAUAGAUUCCCCAACCGGUGUGGACACUUCAAAUGGCUUAACUAACAGUUUGGGUAUUCUUUCAAACUUUCCAGCAACCAAUGGAGUAGCAUAAGAUAAUGUAGAACCGGGAUCAAUUAAGGCAUAUAAAUUGAAUGAAAAUAUAGACAACGUACCCGUAACCACAUCUGGAGAAGCCUCUAAAUUCUGUCGAUCUGCUAGAGCAUACGUACGAUUUUGAGCCCCGCUAGAACUCGUGGCUCCUCUAUCACCUCUAACACGACCCAUUGGCUGUGCACCCCUUCCUGAAUAAGGCAUCGAUGAUGAUGAUGCAACAAAUGACCCCGUAGGUCGUGCCAUACCCC
RNAcentral lists this long non-coding RNA (354 nucleotides) under Capsicum annuum. RNAcentral describes it as "long non-coding RNA (CANN_LNC014018)". The record is from RNAcentral. Lineage: Eukaryota; Viridiplantae; Streptophyta; Magnoliopsida; Solanales; Solanaceae.